Long non-coding RNA from Halichondria panicea, 842 nucleotides. RefSeq lists it as uncharacterized. The record is from RefSeq and is a predicted model, not a curated record. Lineage: Eukaryota; Metazoa; Porifera; Demospongiae; Suberitida; Halichondriidae. The transcript is spliced from 3 exons.
GUAACAUUAUUACAUGACGACCUGAACCACUGACAUGACGUCAUAAGAAACUUCACGACGUCGUAUAUAACACAAGACGGCUUGAACAAAAUAAUGACGACGUCGUAAGAAAAACUGAUAUCCAUAGCCUAGCCAACCCCGUUCAACCACAUAUUAACGAAGCCAGGAAAUUGCGUUGAAGGUUCAGCCUAGUAUGGAAGAGCUGACGAAGGCAGAGGGUACUCCCAAGGACGCAACGAUGGAUAUUCCUUUACUGACAUUAAAGGAGGCAUUUAUGGAUGGUGAAAAGUGACCCUCAUGUUUUGGACACGGGCCUAUUUAUUGCUGUAUAAUUGUGCAUCGACAAAAGAGGUUGAUCUGAUUGAAGGUGAUAUCUUACGGAUUUCAGCAUUGGUGCAAAAGAGACCAACGUAGUCGUCCCCACUCUGACCACCCGAAGCAAGAUAUUAAACACUUAAACAAGCAGUUUCACAAACACCCCGUGACUGUGGAGCUACCACCUCCUCCUGCUAGACCUUCACGAACUCUCCUAAUGUUAACUCACAUGGUGUACUCAAUAAUUAUUCUACUGAUAUAAUUAUCUGCUCACUCUAUAACUAAGAAUGAUGUGCUUGAAAGAUCUACAAGAAACAACCAUCUCUUGUAUCCAUGUAGCCUCAAUUCCAAGCCGCAUUAAAACAUCUUGGAUCGAGGUCAAAGUUCAUUUGCAUUCCAGCAAUUACUUUACUUAUAGGUGUGCACGUGAUACUUUCCAACCUCCUCUGUCAUUACACAUUAGCUUCUUACGACGUCAUGUCAGUCAUGUCAGUUGUAUUCAAAGUCUUUUUCUUAAGACGUCGUUA